CCUACGGGUGGCAGCAGUGAGGAAUAUUGGUCAAUGGACGAGAGUCUGAACCAGCCAAGUAGCGUGAAGGAUGACUGCCCUAUGGGUUGUAAACUUCUUUUAUAAAGGAAUAAAACGAGGCACGUGGGCCGUUUUGCAUGUACGUUAUGAAUAAGGAUCGGCUAACUCCGUGCCAGCAGCCGCGGUAAUACGGAGGAUCCGAGCGUUAGCCGGAGUUAUUGGGGUUAAAGGGAGCGUAGAUGGGUUGUUAAGUCAGUGGUGAAAGUUUGCGGCUCAACCGUAAAAUUGCCCUUGAUACUGGCAGUCUUGAGUACAGUUGCGGUAAGCGGAAUUCGUUGUGUAGC
RNAcentral lists this ribosomal RNA (344 nucleotides) under uncultured bacterium. RNAcentral's name for it is "partial 16S ribosomal RNA". It matches the Rfam family "Bacterial small subunit ribosomal RNA", at positions 338 to 679 of the family's 1533-position model. The record is from RNAcentral.